GGCGCAAUAGCUCAGUGGUAGAGCCCUCGAUCUUCAUGCGAGGGGACUUGGGUUCGAUUCUCGACUGCUCCC
RNAcentral lists this transfer RNA (72 nucleotides) under Toxocara canis (dog roundworm). It matches the Rfam family "tRNA". From Rfam's summary of the family: Transfer RNA (tRNA) molecules are approximately 80 nucleotides in length. Their secondary structure includes four short double-helical elements and three loops (D, anti-codon, and T loops). The record is from Rfam by way of RNAcentral. Lineage: Eukaryota; Metazoa; Nematoda; Chromadorea; Rhabditida; Toxocaridae.